GCACGUCUGCCUGGGUGUCAC
This 21-nucleotide non-coding RNA is filed under the name Arabidopsis thaliana (thale cress). Lineage: Eukaryota; Viridiplantae; Streptophyta; Magnoliopsida; Brassicales; Brassicaceae. The record is from RNAcentral.